CCCAAUUAACAGAAACCAAAGUAGCACAAUAGGAGCAAAGAGCCAGCCAACUCUAUCUGUUCCAUAGUGUUGCAUGCAAAACAAACCCACUAAUAUUACAACUGCAACAACUACAACUAUAUCAUUACUGAUAUUGGGGUGGUCUACCAUGAUCCCACCAGCAGCUGAAAGAACAGAUAUAGCGGGAGUGAGAAUCCCAUCCCCAAUCACCAUACAAGUGCCAACAAGAACAAGAA
RNAcentral lists this unclassified non-coding RNA (236 nucleotides) under Hevea brasiliensis (rubber tree). The record is from RNAcentral. Lineage: Eukaryota; Viridiplantae; Streptophyta; Magnoliopsida; Malpighiales; Euphorbiaceae.